This 2131-nucleotide ribosomal RNA is filed under the name Neoechinorhynchus tenellus. RNAcentral describes it as "partial large subunit ribosomal RNA". It matches the Rfam family "Eukaryotic large subunit ribosomal RNA", at positions 828 to 2835 of the family's 3401-position model. The record is from RNAcentral. Lineage: Eukaryota; Metazoa; Acanthocephala; Eoacanthocephala; Neoechinorhynchida; Neoechinorhynchidae.
GAACUAUGCCUGAGUAGGAUGAAGCCGGAGGAAACUCUGGUGGAGGUCCGAAGCGUUUUUGACGUGCAAAUCAAUCGUCAGACUUGGGUAUAGGGGCGAAAGACUAAUCGAACCAUCUAGUAGCUGGUUCCCUUCGAAGUUUCCCCCAGGAAAGCUGGUGCCAUGUUUGACAGUUUUAUCUGGUAAAGCGAAUGAUUAGAGGCAUUGGGGACGAAUUGUCCUCGACCUAUUCUCAAACUUUAAAUGGGUAAUGUACCGUUGUACUUCUUGAUAUUCAUGAGUGCUCGGUCAAAUGCAAUGGCACCAAGUGGGCCAUUUUUGGUAAGCAGAACUGGCGAUGUGGGAUGAACCAAACGUUGAGCUAGGAUGCCCAAAGUGCUUCUCAUGAGAUACCAUGAAAGGUGUCAGUCGAUAUUGACAGCAGGACGGUGGCCGCAGAAGUAGGAAUCCGCUAAGGAGUGUGUAACAACUCACCUGCCGAAUCGACUGGUCCUGAAAAUGGAUGGCGCUGGAGACGUAUAUCCAUGCUCGACCGUCAAUGCCAACGAAAGCGAUUGCUAUAUGGCUUGACGUGUAGAAGGGCGAUUGCCGUGGCGUCGAAACUUGCACCGUGAGGUGGGGUAGAGCUGCGGCAUGUGCAGAUCUUGGUGGUAGUAGCAAGUAUUCAAAUGAGAGCAUUGAAGACUGAAGUGGAGUAAGGUUCCAUGUGAACAGCAUUUGGACAUGGAUCAGCCGAUCCUAAGAGAACGUGUAAGUUCGUGAUUAAGCGCGUCGCCUUGUGCGUCGCAAUCGAAAGGGAAUCGGGUUAAUAUUCCCGAGCCAGGAUACGGAAUGUGCCUGAUUAUUCGGAAGUACCUUGUGUGCUUUCGACUUCAGGCAAAAGCGGCAACGCCAACAAACCCAGAGAUUAACUAUGCGGAGUCCGGGGAAGAGUUUUCUCUUCUUUGUAAGGGAUGUUAUCCCUGGAAACAGAUUGUCUGGCGAUAGGGUACGCAUCCCGUAAUGCAACGCGAUUCCUGCGAUGUACCGUGCGCUUCGUAUAGUGCUUGAAAAUCUGGGGGCGAGUUUGUUCAGGCCGUACCUGUUCGUACUGAUUUCCGCAGCAGGUCUCCAAGGUGAGCAGCCUCUAGUCGAUGGGACAAAGUAGACAAGGGAAGUCGGCAAAUUAGAUCCGUAACUUCGGAAAAAGGAUUGGCUCUAAAGGCUGAGUUGGUCGGGCGGUUGCGUGAAGCUGGGAGCGACGCUUUGACUCUGUCUCAGACUCCGUUCUCGCAAGGGAUGCGGAAUCGAGGACGGAACUUUGUCUACGCUCUCUGUGGACCGCGGUCGCUAUGCCACCCGUGCGGUAUCUAAACGUAAGUCUCGAGCCGUGCGACGUGGAUCCGAUCAGCGUUUAACAGCUGACCUAGAACUGGUAUGGACAAGGGGAAUCCAACUGUUUAAUUAAAACAAAGCAUUGCGAUAGCUGUAAUCGGUGUUGACGCGAUGUGAUUUCUGCCCAGUGCUCUGAAUGUUAAAGUGAAGGAACUCAUCCAAGCGCGAGUUAACGGCGGAAGUAACUAUGACUUUCUUAAGGUAGCCAAAUGCCUCGUCAUCUAAUUAGUGACGUGCAUGAAUGGAUUAUUGAGAUUCCUUCUGUCCCUGUCUGCAACCUAGCGAAACCACAGCCAAGGGAACGGGCUUGGAGAGUAACAGCGGGGAAAGAAGACCCUGUUGAGCUUGACUCUAGUCAGUCUUUGUGAAGAAACAUGAUGGGUGUAGAAUAGGUGGGAGGACGCGACAGUGAAAUACCACUACUAUCAUCGUUUCUUUACUUACUCAAUUGAUCAGGGAGCGUGAAUUCGCUAUUUGCGAUGUAUGAUUAUUCCUCUAGUGGAAUAAGUGUCUGGUUUGAGAACACAGACUGAUUGGGAGUUUGACUGGGGCGGUACAUCUGUUAAAAUCUAACGCAGGUGUCCUAAGGCAAUCUCAGCGUGGACAGAAACCUCGCAUAGAGCGAAAGGGCAAAAGAUUGCUUGAUCUUGAUUUUCAGUACGAAUAAAGACAAUGAAAGUUUGGCUUGUCGAUCCUUUUGAAUUUUACGAGUUUUAAGCAAGAGGUGUCAGAAAAGUUACCACAGGGAUAACUGGCU